AAUUUAUUAAAUAUAAAAAUUAUUAUAAUAACUAAGUUGUUACUUAAGUUGUUAUUGCUUAAUUAUUAUUAUUUCUUUAUUUUUUCAGUUAGUUGAAAAUGCUGAGCAAUCAAUUAAUAACAUCAGGAUCUUAUAUAAUGACCUGAAGCUGACACUUCAACCUUUGGUUUAUGCUGUUCCACCAAACAUUGCUGUUGUUGUGUACAAUAAUCACAGAUGGUCAUUUAAAACCCCUUUGAAAGCAAUGGAUUUUUCGUUUAAACUGAUUCAAAUCUUGGAUAAGGAAUACAAUAUUGCAAGUUUUCCAGCUUGAAUGUUUUUUGCAAAUAUAUAUAUAUUGUUUUAAUUGCCCCGAUUUUGACGUAUCAUGCCCGAAAGCAAGUGAAUUCGCUUCUGAGUUGAAUUUAUAAGUUUAGUUGACUGUCUUGAAUUGUUAUAAGUAUAGACUGUGUAGUUGCAUAAUGCGUAAAAAAAAAAAAUGUUUGUAGAUGCGGUAAUAAUACAAGCUAAAACAAAUGUAAA
Molecule: non-coding RNA, 522 nt
Organism: Hydra vulgaris (swiftwater hydra)
Lineage: Eukaryota; Metazoa; Cnidaria; Hydrozoa; Anthoathecata; Hydridae
Source: RefSeq, a predicted model, not a curated record